RNAcentral lists this ribosomal RNA (847 nucleotides) under Metapseudomonas otitidis. Its description in RNAcentral is "bacterial SSU rRNA". It matches the Rfam family "Bacterial small subunit ribosomal RNA", at positions 133 to 971 of the family's 1533-position model. The record is from RNAcentral. Lineage: Bacteria; Pseudomonadati; Pseudomonadota; Gammaproteobacteria; Pseudomonadales; Pseudomonadaceae.
GUAGUGGGGGAUAACGUUUCGAAAGGAACGCUAAUACCGCAUACGUCCUACGGGAGAAAGUGGGGGAUCUUCGGACCUCACGCUAUCAGAUGAGCCUAGGUCGGAUUAGCUAGUUGGUGGGGUAAUGGCCCACCAAGGCGACGAUCCGUAACUGGUCUGAGAGGAUGAUCAGUCACACUGGAACUGAGACACGGUCCAGACUCCUACGGGAGGCAGCAGUGGGGAAUAUUGGACAAUGGGCGAAAGCCUGAUCCAGCCAUGCCGCGUGUGUGAAGAAGGUCUUCGGAUUGUAAAGCACUUUAAGUUGGGAGGAAGGGCAGUAAGUUAAUACCUUGCUGUUUUGACGUUACCAACAGAAUAAGCACCGGCUAACUUCGUGCCAGCAGCCGCGGUAAUACGAAGGGUGCAAGCGUUAAUCGGAAUUACUGGGCGUAAAGCGCGCGUAGGUGGUUCAGCAAGUUGGAUGUGAAAGCCCCGGGCUCAACCUGGGAAUUGCAUCCAAAACUACUGAGCUAGAGUACGGUAGAGGGUGGUGGAAUUUCCUGAGUAGCGGUGAAAUGCGUAGAUAUAGGAAGGAACACCAGGGGCGAAGGAGACCACCUGGACUGAUACUGACACGGAGGUGCGAAAGCGGGGGGAGCAAACAGGAUUAGAUACCCUGGGUAGUCCACGCCGUAAACGGAUGUGGACUGGCCGUAGGGAUCGUUGAGAUGUUAGUGGCGCAGGUAUCGCGAUAAGUUGAACGCCGGGGGAGUAGGGGCGCAAGAUUUAAACUAAAAGGAACUGACGGGGGCCCUGCACAAGCGAUGGGGUGGUGUGGUUUAAUUGGCAGCGACAUGAACAACCC